GCUGCAGAUUUACUAGGGUGCCAAAGAUUCUUUCCCAUCCCAGUUACGAAAAACCGGAUAUUAUAAUGUGGUGAAAGAAAGUAAGUAUUAAAUCUGGUCGAGCUAAC
This is a long non-coding RNA of Octopus sinensis (East Asian common octopus), 107 nucleotides long. RefSeq lists it as uncharacterized. NCBI's taxonomy places the organism in Eukaryota, Metazoa, Mollusca, Cephalopoda, Octopoda, Octopodidae. The record is from RefSeq and is a predicted model, not a curated record. The transcript has 3 exons.